RNAcentral lists this transfer RNA (67 nucleotides) under Marmota monax (woodchuck). RNAcentral describes it as "tRNA.Ala". The record is from RNAcentral. Lineage: Eukaryota; Metazoa; Chordata; Mammalia; Rodentia; Sciuridae.
GGUUGUGAUUCAGCGGUAGAGUGCAUGCCUAGCACGUGUGAGACCCUGGGUUCAAUCCUCAGUACCA